CUAGACCUAGCUGCUGUUGAGGCUCCAUCUACAAAUGGAUAAUUUUUUAGUCUCAACCUAGUUUACUAAAAAAAGGAGCAAUAUCAACCUUCUUUUCUUAAUAUAAGAUAUAAAGAAGGUUGAUAUUGCUCCUUUUUUUAUAUUAUAAGAAUAAAGAAAAAAAAGAUUUUAAAUAAUAAAAUACUAAAAAACAUUUUCUUUUAGUAUCAUAUUUUCCUUAUCUAGUAAGGUUAUCUACUAUUAUUUUUUUUAUAAAUAUAAAUAUAAAUAAGGAAGUUUUUACCUAGUUUUUUUUU
This 296-nucleotide unclassified non-coding RNA is filed under the name Capparis mitchellii. RNAcentral's name for it is "partial miscellaneous RNA". The record is from RNAcentral. Lineage: Eukaryota; Viridiplantae; Streptophyta; Magnoliopsida; Brassicales; Capparaceae.